GGCCUCGUAGCUCAGUUGGUAGAGCGUGCACAUCCAAAGUGUAGGCGGUGUCCGUGCGUGGGUUUGAAUUCCACCAAGGCUA
RNAcentral lists this transfer RNA (82 nucleotides) under Echinostoma caproni. It matches the Rfam family "tRNA". From Rfam's summary of the family: Transfer RNA (tRNA) molecules are approximately 80 nucleotides in length. Their secondary structure includes four short double-helical elements and three loops (D, anti-codon, and T loops). The record is from Rfam by way of RNAcentral. Lineage: Eukaryota; Metazoa; Platyhelminthes; Trematoda; Plagiorchiida; Echinostomatidae.